This 77-nucleotide transfer RNA is filed under the name Candidatus Eiseniibacteriota bacterium. RNAcentral describes it as "tRNA-Asp". It matches the Rfam family "tRNA". From Rfam's summary of the family: Transfer RNA (tRNA) molecules are approximately 80 nucleotides in length. Their secondary structure includes four short double-helical elements and three loops (D, anti-codon, and T loops). Lineage: Bacteria; Candidatus Eiseniibacteriota. The record is from RNAcentral.
GGGGUCGUAGCUCAGCUGGUUAGAGCGCCGGCCUGUCACGCCGGAGGUCGCGAGUUCGAAUCUCGUCGGCCCCGCCA